UACGUAGGGGGCAAGCGUUAUCCGGAUUUACUGGGUGUAAAGGGAGCGUAGACGGCAUGGCAAGCCAGAUGUGAAAUACCGGGGCUCAACCCCGGGACUGCAUUUGGAACUGUUAAGCUGGAGUGUCGGAGAGGUCAUCGGAAUUCCUUGUGUAGCGGUGAAAUGCGUAGAUAUAAGGAAGAACACCAGUGGCGAAGGCGGAUGACUGGACGGCAACUGACGGUGAGGCGCGAAAGCGUGGGGAGCAAACAGG
RNAcentral lists this ribosomal RNA (253 nucleotides) under uncultured Eubacteriales bacterium. RNAcentral's name for it is "uncultured Clostridiales bacterium partial 16S ribosomal RNA". It matches the Rfam family "Bacterial small subunit ribosomal RNA", at positions 524 to 776 of the family's 1533-position model. Lineage: Bacteria; Bacillati; Bacillota; Clostridia; Eubacteriales. The record is from RNAcentral.